CCGUACACAAAAAUGCACAUACUGUGAGCUCGAUGAGUAGGGCGGGACACGUGGUAUCCUGUCUGAAUAUGGGGGGACCAUCCUCCAAGGCUAAAUACUCCUGACUGACCGAUAGUGAACCAGUACCGUGAGGGAAAGGCGAAAAGAACCCCGGCGAGGGGAGUGAAAAAGAACCUGAAACCGUGUACGUACAAGCAGUGGGAGCACGCUUAGGCGUGUGACUGCGUACCUUUUGUAUAAUGGGUCAGCGACUUAUAUUCUGUAGCAAGGUUAACCGAAUAGGGGAGCCGAAGGGAAACCGAGUCUUAACUGGGCGUUAAGUUGCAGGGUAUAGACCCGAAACCCGGUGAUCUAGCCAUGGGCAGGUUGAAGGUUGGGUAACACUAACUGGAGGACCGAACCGACUAAUGUUGAAAAAUUAGCGGAUGACUUGUGGCUGGGGGUGAAAGGCCAAUCAAACCGGGAGAUAGCUGGUUCUCCCCGAAAGCUAUUUAGGUAGCGCCUCGUGAAUUCAUCUCCGGGGGUAGAGCACUGUUUCGGCAAGGGGGUCAUCCCGACUUACCAACCCGAUGCAAACUGCGAAUACCGGAGAAUGUUAUCACGGGAGACACACGGCGGGUGCUAACGUCCGUCGUGAAGAGGGAAACAACCCAGACCGCCAGCUAAGGUCCCAAAGUCAUGGUUAAGUGGGAAACGAUGUGGGAAGGCCCAGACAGCCAGGAUGUUGGCUUAGAAGCAGCCAUCAUUUAAAGAAAGCGUAAUAGCUCACUGGUCGAGUCGGCCUGCGCGGAAGAUGUAACGGGGCUAAACCAUGCACCGAAGCUGCGGCAGCGACACUAUGUGUUGUUGGGUAGGGGAGCGUUCUGUAAGCCUGUGAAGGUGUACUGUGAGGUAUGCUGGAGGUAUCAGAAGUGCGAAUGCUGACAUAAGUAACGAUAAAGCGGGUGAAAAGCCCGCUCGCCGGAAGACCAAGGGUUCCUGUCCAACGUUAAUCGGGGCAGGGUGAGUCGACCCCUAAGGCGAGGCCGAAAGGCGUAGUCGAUGGGAAACAGGUUAAUAUUCCUGUACUUGGUGUUACUGCGAAGGGGGGACGGAGAAGGCUAUGUUGGCCGGGCGACGGUUGUCCCGGUUUAAGCGUGUAGGCUGGUUUUCCAGGCAAAUCCGGAAAAUCAAGGCUGAGGCGUGAUGACGAGGCACUACGGUGCUGAAGCAACAAAUGCCCUGCUUCCAGGAAAAGCCUCUAAGCAUCAGGUAACAUCAAAUCGUACCCCAAACCGACACAGGUGGUCAGGUAGAGAAUACCAAGGCGCUUGAGAGAACUCGGGUGAAGGAACUAGGCAAAAUGGUGCCGUAACUUCGGGAGAAGGCACGCUGAUAUGUAGGUGAAGUCCCUCGCGGAUGGAGCUGAAAUCAGUCGAAGAUACCAGCUGGCUGCAACUGUUUAUUAAAAACACAGCACUGUGCAAACACGAAAGUGGACGUAUACGGUGUGACGCCUGCCCGGUGCCGGAAGGUUAAUUGAUGGGGUUAGCGCAAGCGAAGCUCUUGAUCGAAGCCCCGGUAAACGGCGGCCGUAACUAUAACGGUCCUAAGGUAGCGAAAUUCCUUGUCGGGUAAGUUCCGACCUGCACGAAUGGCGUAAUGAUGGCCAGGCUGUCUCCACCCGAGACUCAGUGAAAUUGAACUCGCUGUGAAGAUGCAGUGUACCCGCGGCAAGACGGAAAGACCCCGUGAACCUUUACUAUAGCUUGACACUGAACAUUGAGCCUUGAUGUGUAGGAUAGGUGGGAGGCUUUGAAGUGUGGACGCCAGUCUGCAUGGAGCCGACCUUGAAAUACCACCCUUUAAUGUUUGAUGUUCUAACGUUGACCCGUGAUCCGGGUUGCGGACAGUGUCUGGUGGGUAGUUUGACUGGGGCGGUCUCCUCCUAAAGAGUAACGGAGGAGCACGAAGGUUGGCUAAUCCUGGUCGGACAUCAGGAGGUUAGUGCAAUGGCAUAAGCCAGCUUGACUGCGAGCGUGACGGCGCGAGCAGGUGCGAAAGCAGGUCAUAGUGAUCCGGUGGUUCUGAAUGGAAGGGCCAUCGCUCAACGGAUAAAAGGUACUCCGGGGAUAACAGGCUGAUACCGCCCAAGAGUUCAUAUCGACGGCGGUGUUUGGCACCUCGAUGUCGGCUCAUCACAUCCUGGGGCUGAAGUAGGUCCCAAGGGUAUGGCUGUUCGCCAUUUAAAGUGGUACGCGAGCUGGGUUUAGAACGUCGUGAGACAGUUCGGUCCCUAUCUGCCGUGGGCGCUGGAGAACUGAGGGGGGCUGCUCCUAGUACGAGAGGACCGGAGUGGACGCAUCACUGGUGUUCGGGUUGUCAUGCCAAUGGCACUGCCCGGUAGCUAAAUGCGGAAGAGAUAAGUGCUGAAAGCAUCUAAGCACGAAACUUGCC
RNAcentral lists this ribosomal RNA (2436 nucleotides) under Escherichia coli. RNAcentral describes it as "partial 23S ribosomal RNA". It matches the Rfam family "Bacterial large subunit ribosomal RNA", at positions 373 to 2798 of the family's 2925-position model. The record is from RNAcentral. Lineage: Bacteria; Pseudomonadati; Pseudomonadota; Gammaproteobacteria; Enterobacterales; Enterobacteriaceae.